This 483-nucleotide ribosomal RNA is filed under the name uncultured bacterium. Its description in RNAcentral is "partial 16S ribosomal RNA". It matches the Rfam family "Bacterial small subunit ribosomal RNA", at positions 28 to 507 of the family's 1533-position model. The record is from RNAcentral.
GAUGAACGCUGGCGGCGUGCCUAACACAUGCAAGUCGAACGGAGUCGUUUUGGAAAUCUCUUCGGAGAUGGAAUUCUCGACUUAGUGGCGGACGGGUGAGUAACGCGUGAGCAAUCUGCCUUUAAGAGGGGGAUAACAGUCGGAAACGGCUGCUAAUACCGCAUAAAGCAUUAAAUUCGCAUGUUUUUGAUGCCAAAGGAGCAAUCCGCUUUUAGAUGAGCUCGCGUCUGAUUAGCUAGUUGGCGGGGUAACGGCCCACCAAGGCGACGAUCAGUAGCCGGACUGAGAGGUUGAACGGCCACAGUGGGACUGAGACACGGCCCAGACUCCUACGGGAGGCAGCAGUGGGGAAUAUUGCGCAAUGGGGGAAACCCUGACGCAGCAACGCCGCGUGAUGGAAGAAGGCCUUCGGGUUGUAAAGAUCUUUAAUCAGGGACGAAACAAAUGACGGUACCUGAAGAAUAAGCUCCGGCUAACUACGUG